Molecule: ribosomal RNA, 467 nt
Filed under: uncultured bacterium
Lineage: Bacteria
Description: partial 16S ribosomal RNA
Rfam family: Bacterial small subunit ribosomal RNA
Source: RNAcentral
GACGAACGCUGGCGGCGUGCUUAACACAUGCCAGUCGAACGGAAAGGCCUCUUUCGGGGGGUACUCGAGUGGCGAACGGGUGAGUAACACGUGAGUAACCUGCCCUUGACUUUGGGAUAACUUCAGGAAACUGGGGCUAAUACCGGAUAGGAGCUCCUGCUGCAUGGUGGGGGUUGGAAAGUUUCGGCGGUUGGGGAUGGACUCGCGGCUUAUCAGCUUGUUGGUGGGGUAGUGGCUUACCAAGGCUUUGACGGGUAGCCGGCCUGAGAGGGUGACCGGCCACAGUGGGACUGAGAUACGGCCCAGACUCCUACGGGAGGCAGCAGUGGGGAAUAUUGCACAAUGGGUGGAAGCCUGAUGCAGCAACGCCGUGUGCGGGAGGACGGCCUUCGGGUUGUAAACCGCUUUCGCUCAUGACGAAGCUUUGUGUGACGGUAGUGGGUAAAGAAGCACCGGCUAACUACGUG